ACUGCUUUAGCAUAAUAGAAUGUGUGGGAUUGUAGCUCCUGAGAUAGUAAUUACUAGGCAGGG
This 63-nucleotide transfer RNA is filed under the name Pseudochauhanea macrorchis. RNAcentral describes it as "tRNA-Tyr". Lineage: Eukaryota; Metazoa; Platyhelminthes; Monogenea; Mazocraeidea; Chauhaneidae. The record is from RNAcentral.